GUAAUAAUCCUGUAGUCGAAAAUGUUGUCUCUCUUGAGUGGAUCCUGAGUACGACGGAGCACGUGAAAUUCCGUCGGAAUCUGGGAGGACCAUCUCCUAAGGCUAAAUACUCUCUAGUGACCGAUAGUGAACCAGUACCGUGAGGGAAAGGUGAAAAGCACCCCGGAAGGGGAGUGAAAUAGAACCUGAAACCGUGUGCUUACAAGUAGUCAGAGCCCGUUAAUGGGUGAUGGCGUGCCUUUUGUAGAAUGAACCGGCGAGUUACGAUUUGAUGCAAGGUUAAGCAGUAAAUGUGGAGCCGUAGCGAAAGCGAGUCUGAAUAGGGCGUUUAGUAUUUGGUCGUAGACCCGAAACCAGGUGAUCUACCCUUGGUCAGGUUGAAGUUCAGGUAACACUGAAUGGAGGACCGAACCGACUUACGUUGAAAAGUGAGCGGAUGAACUGAGGGUAGCGGAGAAAUUCCAAUCGAACCUGGAGAUAGCUGGUUCUCUCCGAAAUAGCUUUAGGGCUAGCCUCAAGUGAUGAUUAUUGGAGGUAGAGCACUGUUUGGACGAGGGGCCCCUCUCGGGUUACCGAAUUCAGACAAACUCCGAAUGCCAAUUAAUUUAACUUGGGAGUCAGAACAUGGGUGAUAAGGUCCGUGUUCGAAAGGGAAACAGCCCAGACCACCAGCUAAGGUCCCAAAAUAUAUGUUAAGUGGAAAAGGAUGUGGCGUUGCCCAGACAACUAGGAUGUUGGCUUAGAAGCAGCCAUCAUUUAAAGAGUGCGUAAUAGCUCACUAGUCGAGUGACACUGCGCCGAAAAUGUACCGGGGCUAAACAUAUUACCGAAGCUGUGGAUUGUCCUUUGGACAAUGGUAGGAGAGCGUUCUAAGGGCGUUGAAGCAUGAUCGUAAGGACAUGUGGAGCGCUUAGAAGUGAGAAUGCCGGUGUGAGUAGCGAAAGACGGGUGAGAAUCCCGUCCACCGAUUGACUAAGGUUUCCAGAGGAAGGCUCGUCCGCUCUGGGUUAGUCGGGUCCUAAGCUGAGGCCGACAGGCGUAGGCGAUGGAUAACAGGUUGAUAUUCCUGUACCACCUAUAAUCGUUUUAAUCGAUGGGGGGACGCAGUAGGAUAGGCGAAGCGUGCGAUUGGAUUGCACGUCUAAGCAGUAAGGCUGAGUAUUAGGCAAAUCCGGUACUCGUUAAGGCUGAGCUGUGAUGGGGAGAAGACAUUG
This 1214-nucleotide ribosomal RNA is filed under the name Staphylococcus aureus. Its description in RNAcentral is "partial 23S ribosomal RNA". It matches the Rfam family "Bacterial large subunit ribosomal RNA", at positions 364 to 1581 of the family's 2925-position model. Lineage: Bacteria; Bacillati; Bacillota; Bacilli; Caryophanales; Staphylococcaceae. The record is from RNAcentral.